RNAcentral lists this ribosomal RNA (947 nucleotides) under Nocardioides sp. AP9. RNAcentral's name for it is "bacterial SSU rRNA". It matches the Rfam family "Bacterial small subunit ribosomal RNA", at positions 247 to 1203 of the family's 1533-position model. The record is from RNAcentral. Lineage: Bacteria; Bacillati; Actinomycetota; Actinomycetes; Propionibacteriales; Nocardioidaceae.
UGUUGGUGGGGUAAUGGCCUACCAAGGCUUCGACGGGUAGCCGGCCUGAGAGGGUGACCGGCCACACUGGGACUGAGACACGGCCCAGACUCCUACGAGAGGCAGCAGUGGGGAAUAUUGGACAAUGGGCGGAAGCCUGAUCCAGCAACGCCGCGUGAGGGAUGACGGCCUUCGGGUUGUAAACCUCCCUUUGUAGAGACGAAGCGUAAGUGACGGUACCUACAGAACACCUACCGGCCAACUACGUGCCAGCAGCCGCGGUAAUACGUAGGGUGCGAGCGUUGUCCGGAAUUAUUGGGCGUAAAGGGCUCGUAGGCGGUUUGUCGCGUCGGGAGUGAAAACACUGGGCUUAACUCAGUGCUUGCUUCCGAUACGGGCAGACUAGAGGUAUUCAGGGGAGAACGGAAUUCCUGGUGUAGCGGUGAAAUGCGCAGAUAUCAGGAGGAACACCGGUGGCGAAGGCGGUUCUCUGGGAAUUACCUGACGCUGAGGAGCGAAAGUGUGGGGAGCGAACAGGAUUAGAUACCCUGGUAGUCCACACCGUAAACGUUGGGCGCUAGGUGUGGGGUCCAUUCCACGGAUUCCGUGUCGCAGCUAACGCAUUAAGCGCCCCGCCUGGGGAGUACGGCCGCAAGGCUAAAACUCAAAGGAAUUGACGGGGGCCCGCACAAGCGGCGGAGCAUGCGGAUUAAUUCGAUGCAACGCGAAGAACCUUACCUGGGUUUGACAUACACCGGAAAGCUGCAGAGAUGUAGCCCCUUUUAGUCGGUGUACAGGUGGUGCAUGGCUGUCGUCAGCUCGUGUCGUGAGAUGUUGGGUUAAGUCCCGCAACGAGCGCAACCCUCGUCCUAUGUUGCCAGCAAGCCUUCGGGUGUUGGGGACUCAUAGGAGACUGCCGGGGUCAACUCGGAGGAAGGUGGGGAUGACGUCAAGUCAUCAUGCCCCUU